UCUUCCGGCUCGGCGCAAAAAGCAACGCGGUAUCACCAUCAGCAUCAGCCGCCGCCUCCGCAGCGGGGCUCGGCGCCGGAGCUCCCGCCGGGCUUCCGGUUCCACCCGACGGACGAGGAGCUGGUGGUGCACUACCUCAAGAAGAAGGCCGACAAGGCGCCGCUCCCCGUCAACAUCAUCGCCGAGGUGGAUCUCUACAAGUUCGACCCAUGGGAGCUCCCCGAGAAGGCGACCAUCGGGGAGCAGGAGUGGUACUUCUUCAGCCCGCGCGACCGCAAGUACCCCAACGGCGCGCGGCCGAACCGGGCGGCGACGUCGGGGUACUGGAAGGCCACCGGCACGGACAAGCCUAUCCUGGCCUCGGGGACGGGGUGCGGCCUGGUCCGGGAGAAGCUCGGCGUCAAGAAGGCGCUCGUGUUCUACCGCGGGAAGCCGCCCAAGGGCCUCAAAACCAACUGGAUCAUGCACGAGUACCGCCUCACCGACGCAUCUGGCUCCACCACCGCCACCAACCGACCGCCGCCGGUGACCGGCGGGAGCAGGGCUGCUGCCUCUCUCAGGUUGGACGACUGGGUGCUGUGCCGCAUCUACAAGAAGAUCAACAAGGCCGCGGCCGGCGAUCAGCAGAGGAACACGGAGUGCGAGGACUCCGUGGAGGACGCGGUCACCGCGUACCCGCUCUAUGCCACGGCGGGCAUGACCGGUGCAGGUGCGCAUGGCAGCAACUACGCUUCACCUUCACUGCUCCAUCAUCAGGACAGCCAUUUCCUGGACGGCCUGUUCACAGCAGACGACGCCGGCCUCUCGGCGGGCGCCACCUCGCUGAGCCACCUAGCAGCGGCGGCGAGGGCAAGCCCGGCUCCGACCAAACAGUUUCUCGCCCCGUCGUCUUCGACCCCGUUCAACUGGCUCGAUGCGUCACCAGUCGGCAUCCUCCCACAGGCAAGGAAUUUUCCUGGGUUUAACAGGAGCAGAAACGUCGGCAAUAUGUCGCUGUCAUCGACGGCCGACAUGGCUGGCGCAGUGGACAACGGUGGAGGCAAUGCGGUGAACGCCAUGUCUACCUAUCUUCCCGUGCAAGACGGGACGUACCAUCAGCAGCAUGUCAUCCUCGGCGCUCCGCUGGUGCCAGAAGCCGCCGCCGCCACCUCUGGAUUCCAGCAUCCCGUUCAAAUAUCCGGCGUGAACUGGAAUCCCUGA
This 1200-nucleotide ribosomal RNA is filed under the name Triticum aestivum (bread wheat). RNAcentral describes it as "partial small subunit ribosomal RNA". Lineage: Eukaryota; Viridiplantae; Streptophyta; Magnoliopsida; Poales; Poaceae. The record is from RNAcentral.